AUUGAACGCUGGCGGCAGGCCUAACACAUGCAAGUCGAACGAGUGGCGGACGGGUGAGUAAUGUCUGGGAAACUGCCCGAUGGAGGGGGAUAACUACUGGAAACGGUAGCUAAUACCGCAUACCAUCGGAUGUGCCCAGAUGGGAUUAGCUAGUAGGUGGGGUAACGGCUCACCUAGGCAACGAUCCCUAGCUGGGUUGAGAGGAUGACAAGACACAAUGGAACUGAGACACGGUCCAUACUCAUACGGGAGGCAGCAGUGGGGAAGAUUGCACAAUGGGCGCAAUCCUGAUGCAGCCAUGCCGCGUGUAUGAAGAAGGCCUUCGGGUUGUAAAGUACUUUCAGCGAGGAGGCGUUACUCGCAGAAGAAGCACCGGCUAACUCCGUGCCAGCAGCCGCGGUAAUAC
RNAcentral lists this ribosomal RNA (406 nucleotides) under uncultured bacterium. RNAcentral's name for it is "partial 16S ribosomal RNA". It matches the Rfam family "Bacterial small subunit ribosomal RNA", at positions 30 to 526 of the family's 1533-position model. The record is from RNAcentral.